AGCGGGCGGGCAUUUUACCCUCUCACACGAUCACAAGAAGGAUAAAGAGAGUCAAAUGACCAGACUUCUGCAGGAGUAACAUGUGAAACAAAGCAUUUGGAGAGUGAGUGCAUCAGGGGACCUCUAAAGGCAGCCAAUAUUAGUACUGAUGGGGCACUUACCCAGAUAAUACUUUAUGUUCCAAAAUAAAACAACUGAGCACUCCUUGUUAUCCAGUAUCAAGGGUGGAAACUUUUAUCCAAUUGCUCCUCUUCUGGAUGUCCAGCAUCAACAACAGUGUUUGGCCCACAGAAGGUACUCAGGAAUAUUACUGAAUAAAUGCAGGUCCAGUACACAGAGACAGGACUAGAGUAAGGAGCCAUGUUUAGUGGGUGAAGAGAGAAAGAAAUGGCCACUUCCACUCCUUGAAGUCUACCAUUGCUUGGACCGUGAAAAGAUCCAUUGACUCACAGAAAGAGUUCUGCGUAUUACAUGGGACUCAGCUCAUUAUCAAAUGAAAACUGUUUUGUGACAUAAAGUGACCCAGGACAGCCUGUUUCCUAAGAGUGGGCAGAAAAGUCAUAGAACAGGCUG
This is a long non-coding RNA of Zalophus californianus (California sea lion), 573 nucleotides long. RefSeq lists it as uncharacterized. The transcript has 5 exons. The record is from RefSeq and is a predicted model, not a curated record. Lineage: Eukaryota; Metazoa; Chordata; Mammalia; Carnivora; Otariidae.